CUCCCCUCCCUCCAUAAGACCACUUUCUCGUUCCCUUUCGAGAAUGAAGAUAAAAAAUGAUUCAUUGAGAUAGAUUAAAUUUAAAUUCGUGUGAAAUUUUCUUUUCUUAUUUUCAUCCUGUAUGAAAUUGACUAAAUUUUAAUUCCUGCCAAAAGUAAUACAUUAGAAAAGAAAUCGCCCCCUAACAAUAGAAACUCUUAUUGAAAACUGAAAUACGAAAUCUUUGAUUAAAGAUCAAGAAAUAUUUGUCUCUCCAACAUAACAAAAUAUUACACGAAUUAAAGAAAAACAAACAGAUCAAGGCAGUAAUUAGAUAAUUAAGAUCACAACUACGUUUAGAAAACAUUAUUCACUAAUACAAUCCUAAUUAAUUAUCAUCGUUAGCAUAAUAAAAAGGUGAAAAGUGAACCAAUUCCUUCUCAUUCUCCCAAGAUUUUACCACUAAUUCAGCAUUAAAUAUUUUAGGGAUUCCAAAUGAAAAUGCUGAGAUUUUAAGGUAAUAUUUAAUACCAGAAACAACUUGUGUUUCUGCCUCUACAACUUCAACAAAACUCAAUAAUUCAAUAUUGUCAUCUUGCAUUAUUUGCUUGUACUUUCUUAAACUCUUGUUGUACUCUUCCACACAAUAUUUUCCCAAUUCUUGAAUUUUUUUGUUUGUUUUCACAUCCUUUAUAGGUGUUUUUCCUCCAACUUUUCUUGCAAGAAUCUUUGAUGGGGUUGAAGAAAAUGAUGUUAUUAUGAAGAGGGUGAUGAGAACGGAAAUUAUUUUUGUGGAUUUUGUCAUUGUUUUUUGGAGAUUGAAAUUUGAUGAUGGGAUAUAUUGUUUUUGGGAGAUGAAAGUGAAUAGUUGAAGGAUUUAUAUAAGGGUUUACGAUAGUUGUUGGAGAUUCUUCCUCUAUUUUACUUGGUUUAACUUGACAUAAAUAAUUUUUUUUCAUAUUUACGAGCUUAAAUAGCAGUAACAUAUGCAUCUGAGUUGAGAACGUGAAGUCUUGAAUUCAAAUCUCAAUAAAAAUAAAAAAAUAUUAAAUAAUUCUUCUCAUCUUGUAAAUUUAAUCUAAAUACAUAAAAACUAAUUUAAAUAUCAUAAUUUUAAAAAGAAUAUUUCUAUACAUACAAUAAUAUAUGUGUGGUUAUAAAUUCUUUGGGAACUAUCAUUCAAAAAUAUGUACUAUAACAUUUGUAUUUAUAAAUUUUUGAAAAUUAUAAUCUUAGAUAUAUUAUAACAUUCAUGUCUUUAAAGAGUUUAUUCGAAAUAAUUUCUCUAUUUCAUAAAAGUAAGUAUAAGAUAUUCAUAUGUUUUUAUCUUUUUAAAAUUCACAUGAGAAAUUAUAUAUACUGAAUCGGCUCGUAAAUCACCUAAAAAAUGUACAUAAUUAUAUCAAUACGAUAAGCUCAAUUGAGUAGUAUAGGAAUUGUUUUCUAUACUUAUGAGAUAUCAUCCGUUAUACUAACUCAGUUAUUCUUACGGACAAAAAAAAUUCAGGAAUAGAUCGAAGGCUCAUUUUAAAAUACUCUCAAAUUCAAUGUAGAUUAAAUAUAAUUAUAUUUAAUAUAUAUAUAAAUUGAUAUAAAAUUUAAAAACGCAUUUAAGUAUCAUAAUUUUUUGAUAAAAUUUUAUAUGAUUUUUAAAUUCUGAAUUUGUCAUUUUAAAUUCUGAAUUUUCCAUUGUCUAGGUCGAUAUUAUUUAUGCAAAAAGUUGUGUGCCAAUGUUAUUGUAGAAUGGUAUAGAGACACGUAAUGAAAUAGUGGGGAUGGUGGACACAUCUACGAGAUGCCGCGUUCUAUGAUAGCACUGUGAAAAGAAGACAAAAUGGUGUAUUAUCUUUUGUUUGUUUAUUACUUUAUUUGUUUUGUUUGUUAGUAUAGCAUGUCAUUAGAUAAUCUUGAAAAGAAGAUGAUAUUAAACCAAUCAAAAAUAAAAUGAAAUUGUUAUAUAUUUGUAUUAUUUUUAUUUUAAUUUGUGUGACACCGUUUAGAGUUUGAGAAUCGAGUUAAAUUUCGUUUAGUUCAUAAAUAUUUGUAUCUUAUUUCAACUGAGAUAACUAAAUCUCGGCCUUGUCCGUUCCAUUACGACAUUAUCUUCUUGAUCAUCAGAUAUUUGAUAGAAAAACAAUCAAAGAAAUAAAAAAAAAGUAGUUCAAUGCACUAAAACUCCUGCUAUAUGCAGGAUCGGAGCAGUGCUGGGCCCACACGAGCUUUUUGUAUAAAGCGUGUCACAAUUCGAGCCGAGAUCGUAACCACAUUGGACAUUCCGAACCACUUAGGCGAAGGAAGACUCUUAGCAUUCUUGCAUUACGUAGGAGUGCAGAAAUAUAAUAUAAUUCAAAGAAGUCUCUAAAGAAAGCUCAAUAAAAAAAGAAAUCCCAAACUAUGAACAUAACAUCAUAAUCAAAAACAUCUGCCAACCCCUAUCUACGAAGCCUCUAAUCAUUGACUAAUCUAUCUAAGUCAGGACAAGGCCCCAAUGACACCAUAAAGCUGAAAGAAUUGAAUGUCUAAAUAAAACGCCUUUUGAAAGAUGGAUGAUUCACCAACACUAAUGUUUCGAGAGAUUCUAUUGUUAUGCUGAAUCGUAAGACUCCACCUCAGAACUUACAGACUUCGCCUCAGAGCCUACAGACCUUGCUUCAGAAUCUACAUUAUGAGACAACAUAACCGCUUGAGGACGGUCAAUAUUUAAAAUGUAUUGACAUGUAGAACAAUAAAAAAAAUAAUGAUAAUGAUAAUAGAAAUAAUAAAGGCAGUAAAAGCUUUGGAGAAAAUUCAUCAUAAAACAUACAUUUAGUCGUCAAAAUACAAUAUGAGGAUUUCAAUAAAGAUUUGUCUGCUAAAGGUCUACUCUGUUUUCUUUACUUCUGAGAUAGAUUGUAUUCCCGACAUGUCUACUAUCCUACGGGCUAUAUAGGUUCGCCAUUAACUCGUUAGUUAAGCUCCUAAUCCAAGUUUGCUAUAAGGAUUGGAGUGUCUUAAGUCUAGUAUACCAAAACAUGAAACAAGUAUGCAAUGAUUAUCCGUAUUUCAGCACAGAAUCAAUCCCGCGUCGGCAAAACAUGAUUUCGAGCUAUAAGCUUUUAAACUCAUGCCUUCUCAGAUAACCAUCUAACUCUCUCAGAGUGCAUUUUUAGUUUCUAUAAAACAUGCAUCUUUUCAUAACUUAUUCUGAAUCUAAAUGGCAAUGUCUACAUUGAUAUCGUCAUAUCAAGACUUGCAAUUACCAUAACUCAUAUCAUAUAUUCUGCGUCUAUCGCUUUCAUACCAUACAUCAUUAACCAUCAUAAAAUGUUUCAAAGAUCAGAUUGUCACGCUCUUUCGAAAAUAUUAUAGAAGUCUAAUGCCAUGCUCUUUCGAAAAUCUUAUAGAAGUCUAAGCAAAACAUCUUUCUAUCAGUACUUCUUUGAAGGCUCUUAAGGGUGGUCGUUUCUGUCAUAAUUCAUACGAUUAUCAUUAUAAAAAAAAAACAAGAGCAUUUAAGAUACAACAUAUACUCUUCAAAUUCAUGUAAGUGAACAAUGCCCAAAUAAGGUAAAGAAAACAUUCGAAAUUAAUCUUCUUAUCAUUUACCAAGUAGUCCACAACAUACAUAGGAAUGCUUAAUUCGUAUCAUUAAAAAAAGGAUUCAUAAUUCACGCUCUUCAAUUUAGAUAAAAAUCCAUACUUUAUACAUAUUCUAAAUGUUUAGAAAACAUACUUCCAUACUUAAUAUAAGUAAGGUCGUUCUACAUAUAUUCCAGUGACGAGAAUUUGAUGAACGCUCUAUCCUUGGAGCUUUGAACCCUAGGUAGUUUUCUCUCUUUUGUGAAUUGGGGGAAGUUGGAAUGUUAUUUGAGGGGUAAGAAAUCAUACUUAGUGACUUAGGGACGUUUUAAAUGGUAAAAUGACCUAAACACCCCUAAAACAUCAUUAAAACGACGCCCUAGCGGGGGGGCGAGGGUUUGCGGCACGAGCCCUAACGCGCGACCCCAUCGUUGCGCAGGGGCCCUCCGCAUGGGUGAGGCAGUGGCCUACCGCAGCGGCCCACGCGGCGCGGGGCUAGUGCGCAGGGUUUCCCUUGUGAUGCAUGGCUCGUUUUUUCGUCUAAAAUUGCCCCCAACACUUUCGAACCCAUCCUAAAGUGAUUUAUACUCAAUCUAGGGGUGACAUAGCUAGGUUCCUUCUUAGCUCUAUUUAAGUGCCUAAACACUUGGGCCGCUACAUUUACCUUGCAAUUCCAAUGAGUUUAUUGCUAAAAAUGUAGUACUCUUUUCAUCUCAUUAUAUACUUUUCAACGAAUUUCACACUUCAACUAUGAGUUGUUCCCCUUUUUCUACUUGAACUAUCAUGAUAGUUCAGACAGUAGAAGGGGACAGUUGAUAUGGUUGGUCUACGUAGCUUGAAGGUGUAUUUUAAUACAUAGAUGAUGAUAGUUCAUGUAGAAAAAGGUAACAACCGAUCGUUAAGAUGUAAAAAUGUGACAGCUCUAAUGUGUUUUUGAUCGUUAACUCAAAAGAGAAAGACAAUUGAAAUUUCUCAGUUGUGUACCUUAAUAAAGGCGUGAUCAUCAUGGAUAAAGACCUGAAAGCCAGAAUUCUGAUAAUCUUCAACUUGUGUUUCUUGGAUAACUCUGGCUGAUUUGACGACAGACUCGUUGCAAUGCCAUAACUCAAUGGACAAUAGAGAAGAGAUGUCUUCGAAACAAGAAGGGAUCUCCUUAAGAAAUGGACAGCCAUGCAAAACCAAGCGUUCAAGUUGGGGAAAUGCAUCGUCGCCGAUACAUCUCCAUUCUUUAAUGCUCUCUAUUAGUUGUAGUUUCAACGAUCUGAGUCGAAGGAACUCGCCAUUGCUCACUUUCCAUUCCUCGUUCUCAAAAUGAAUGAGUAGUAGUCUAAGUGCCUGAAGGUUCUGAAGCGAAGCAAUUUCUGAUAAGUGCUGAUGAUGCAGGUAAAAGCCGCAUAGUGUCAAGCUUCUGAGACUAGGUGCGGAGAUGGAAAAGGGGAUGAUUUUAGGGACUUUGCCAGGACGAAAGUUGUGACAAUAAAUGCAUAACUUUUCAAUCCGUGUUGGAAUGUUCAGUAUGCCGUACUGAAAGUUUUCAAAAACCUGAAUUUCAAAUUCCAGUAUCCGAAGAUUAGGUGUUUUUCUCAAAAUCAAUUCCACAUCCUGGACUUCAGCAAUAAAUGGUGUGGAGAGAGUUUGCAGAUCAUAAAGGUUUUCGAAGUUCUCAAGUAAUUCUUUGGAGAAGCAACAAUUGCCGAUUUGCAGAUGUCUCAGUUUAACCAUAUUCCUGACUCUAAUGGGUAGUCGCAUGAUUCUUGAAAAAUUAGUAUUCUGUAACAUCAGAACUUCAAGUUUCCAACUAUUGUCUAUGAUUGAAUUAUAAUCUCUGAGGGAAACUUUUGCAGCAAAAAACCUCAAGUAAACAAGACCAGUAGGAAAAUAAUCAACUAAAAUGUUCAUCAUAUUCAACACUUUUAGAAACUUGAAGGUGUAAAUCUGGUAGAGGAGGUCUCGGGAUUGCCAAGCAGGAUCAUCAAUCAAAAAUACAGAGCCAACAUGUGACCAACAUGAGCUCCAAUCUCCAACAGUAGAAAUGGACAUGUGAUGAGCAAGUCGGUUGUGACUGUCAAAACAGGAAGAUGGACCGGCAUUUUCAUUCCUGAGAAUAUAUGUAGAAAGUGGUGAAGUUAUAAGAUUACUUGCCAAUAUAACUUGGAACACUUGAUUAACUGAAGCAAAAGACAAGUAUCAGUAUUGAAUAUUACCUCUUUAUCCAUAGGAGAAAAUUCUCUUCCUUUGCUCUUUCCUUGCAGAAAUCAUGCAACAGGUCAUGAAUGCGACAUGCUUUGGUCUUACCUCGAGAACUCCUCUUAGUUCCCAUCACUAGAUUUCUUCCAAUAAGAUUCUCCAAAUAGCCUUGUGCUAAAUCCUCCAAGCUCUUGCCUUCACAACUUUUAACAAAUCCUUGGGAGAUCCACAACCAUGUUAAUUCUCUAACAGGAAGUACAUUGUCCUCUGGAAAGGAUCCAAAGAAAAGAAAGCAAGACCUGAGAUGAUAGGGUAAAAUCUGAUAACUUUGUUCUAUAAUGGCCCUCGAGUCUUUGUGAAUGUGGGGACCUAAAUUGUUGGCAAAUUGUUUCCAACAUUCUUCUUCCUUCUCCAACUCAGCCAGAAUACCAGCCACCAAAACAACUGAAAGAGGCAGUUGACCACACUUUUUUGCUAUUUGUUGACCAACUUUUGUUAGGAGAGGGGAGCAACUUUCUUCACCAACCACCAUUUUUCGGAGUAACUCCCAACUUUCAUCAUCGUUAAACAUACGAAGUUGAAGGGGAUCACUUUGAAAUCUAGUGUAAUUGGCUACUUCAAGAUUUCGGGUUGUUAGAAUGAUUCUACUUCCAUUAUUGGCAUCAUUGAAACAACCUACCAGAUCAUCCCACACACUAGUUUCCCACACAUCAUCGACAAGGAUAAGAUACCUUCUGGGAAGUAAAGUUUUACGAAGCUGAUCAGCUAAUUCAUCAGGUUGUUUUCUGCGAAGCUCAUCAGCUAAUUCAUCAGUUUGUUUUUUGCUACGCUCAAAUUUCUCAGUGAUAGCAUCACUUAAAAUAGCCAUUAACAACUCCUUACGUGAAUAUAAUUGAGACACACAACACUGUGCACGAAUGUCAAAGUGAGAAGAGACUGACCUGUCAUAGUAGAGUCUGUAGGCCAACGUCGUCUUGCCUAGACCUGGCAUACCGACAAUCGAGAUAACAUCUCGUCCUUUGGUGCCUUUUAUUAGUUGGUCUCUUAACUUUUCUAUGACAUCCUCAAAACCAAUUAUUUCUUCAUUCAUCCUUGAAGACCUUACCAAAUUUGAUGACUUAUGAGCUGUGACAGCGUUCACUGCACCGCCAACCAUUUUCAUUUCAUGAAUCUCUGCUGCCAUGUCUUUGAUAAGAGCAAUCUCCUUCAUGAUAUCCAAGAGCCAACGUUCGAUGCACCAUACAGGAGCUUCUCUGCUAAUACGAGCAUCAACUAAGUAUUCCACCUCAUAUGCUAUGUCAAACAGUUGUGUUGCACAAUGUUGAAUUUGCUCGAUGCCUUUGUGCUGCUCUUCUGCAAUAGCCUCUAGAAAAGGUUGCAAGCCCUCAAGUUCCAUCUGAAUUAUUUGAAGUGGGUUUGCGACAGAAGCUAGUGAGUCUGAAUGGAUGGUUUGGAACUCCUUCAAGUUGUUUAAAAGGAAAUCAACAUAACCUAAUCCAUGAAUCCUUGGCAAGUUAAGUUGAAAUGACUUCCGAAUAGUGACAUAGAUUGCUGUGUUGAUACAUUGAAUGUUGCCCAUCAAAUCAAGAACUAGUGAACGGUUCAAUUCUCUCAAUUCUAUAUAUUCCUUCUCCCACUCGCCUUCAUAUAAUGAGUACAUCAUAAGUCCAACAUCAAUAACCACAGUGUCAAUAUCUCGAAGAAAUUCAAGACCUGGUAUCAUCACACGCGUGAUGUUGGCUCUCAAGAAGCUGAUCAUCUGCUGAAGUAUUGCCAAGUGAUCCUUCAAAGGAACUUUCUCACUGGAGUUACUAUUAGGUGAUAAAACUGCCAAAUUGUGUAGGAUAGCCACCACAAACCUGUAUUCACUGUCAACUGCUUUCUCACUUUGGACGUUGGGAUACCAUCCUGAUUGUAUCGACAACUUCAAAGAGUGCAAGACAUCAACAAAGAUCUUGCGGACGCAUUGCUGAAUGGGCUUAAAUUUCAUUUGCAAGAAAAGCAAAACAUUCAUUUCACUCAGAGCCACAUCUUGAUCUUCGUAGCCACAGCCUGAAAAAUACAACCAGGCAAGCAUUGACGCAUGGCCAGCCACUGCUAAAACAUGAGUGAAGAAAUUAACAUAAUGUUGUCUCUGAUGAUCUAUGAACCUCUCUGAAACAAAGUAUAAGAAAUUAUUCAGCAAUUUCAGUUCCCUGUGAACACCAUGAAGUAAGUGGUUAUCACCAAGCUUCAUAAGAUCACGAAGAUUCUUCAUCACGGCAUUUAGAAAUUUCGUUACAAAUUUGGGAAUAGCAGUGCCAUCUUUGUUUUCUGAAAUUAGUGGCAAUGAUGAUAUUUUAGGAAAGGAAUAUUUGCCUCUAAUUUCCAGCUUAGUUAACAAAAUCUUGUUUUGUACCUUAAAGGUACAAAAGUCGAAGUACUCUGCAAGGUGUAAUUCAGAAAAGUUCACUAGAGCAUCUUGAAAUAGAGCUUGGGCUUUCUGAAAGACAUCUAGCAUGUUGUGUUGUUCAUCUGUGAACCUCUGCAAGGCGAUAAAAAUCUCUAGGAAUUUGAAUUCCAGUCUAAAGAACUCUACUAUAUCUAUCGAAGUUUCAGAGAAGUUUAAAACACUGCGAAGUUGUUGCAGACGUUCAAAAAGACGUCUCUUUGAUGACAGAUAAUGGUUAGAAGACAUCUGUUUUUCUGAAAAAUGGUGAUUAAAAUACACUGUGAUGAACUUAGAAUUGAAAAGGGAAGAAAGAAAUUGAACAACUGAGCUUCAGAACAGAUGUUUAAUAGGAAACCAAACAAGGAUGAUCCACUUUUUAUCAUUCAGGAAUUUGGAGUUUAAUACUUCUCCGUUUCAAUUUAUUUGUUUUACGUUUCUUUUUUAGUCUGUUUCAAAAAGAAUGUCUUUUCCUUUUCUUGUAACUCUUUAGUUGUAACUUUCCGCAUGUCAUGUUUAACGCCACAAGAUUAAGGGCAUUAUAGUAUAUUCAAUAUUCUUUACUUUGUUAAACUCCAUAUCCAGUCAAAAUCAGACAUACAAAUUAUAACGGAGGGAGUACUAAAAUUUGUAAUUGAAUACACUUAAUAUUCAAGUGAAAGGCCACUUUAGUAAUUGAAUGGGCAAGUGUUUUCUAGUCAGUGGCAUGUAGUUCCUUAAUUAGUGCUACUUUAAUAGAUGUUUCUCUCUUUAAUAACAUUUUAAUAUGCUACUCCAUUAUUGCCCACAAUUUAAUUUUUAUACAUUUAAAGCAACUUCAUGAUAUGCUUAAUUAGUCAUUAGUGGGGCAUUUAAAGCAACUUCAUGAUAUGCUUAAUAAUAUCAGAGGAUGACUCACUUUGAUUAAGUUUGGCAUCUUUAAAGUGUUUCUUAAACAAACUAAAGAGACUAUUUGCCUUAUGAAUAGGCUUUUUAGAAUUAUAGAUGAAGAUAUUUUAAGUUCAGUAGAUUCAAACAACCACCACAACAUAUUUGUCUGCAAGUUCAAAGAGAAAAACAUAAUUUCAUAGAUAGAUGUAUUCUUGCUGGAACAGACUGAGAUGGAGUAAUGUCUUUUAAGUUUUGGUUGAAACAAGUAAUUUGGAAUAACAACGAACCCAGUGAAAUCCCACGAGUAGGAUUCAAGGAGGAUAGUGUGUAUGCGGAUUUUACCUGUUGUAUUGAGUUUUGAUGAUGACUUUCAUGAGAUAAUAGGGACCAGGUCUGUCGUAUGCUGAAUUUACGAGUGUACUAUUUUGUUUGAUAGUAUCAUUAGUAUGGAUGGCUAUACACUAGUGCUGCGUAUGAUAUGAGGACACCUGGUCCAGUAAAUGGCAGCAUUUGUUUUGUCCCUCGCUAUAUAAUAAGCAUAGAUGUGACAAUGGGCAAACCUAGUUUUUGCACUACAAGAAGGAAUUCUUCAGAAAGGCAAAAAUUGCGCUCUCAAGAAAUAGGAAAUUACUCUUCUCAAGGAACUGGUCAAUCAACAACAUUUUAUCUUUAUUUCUUGGGUGUAGUCUACUCUUUCAGUUGUGGUGCGGCAAAUAUUCCUUCAAUAUGCUCUUUGUUAGCUUAGGAAUUAAUUGUAAGGCAUAACACAAGGCAACUCCAGUUUCAAAACUAUCACGAUCCGAACUAGGGACUUGAUCGUGACUGCUACACCAAGGCAUGAGAUGACCCCUUAGCCUUACAUCACAAGCAUAGUAAUAUGAAGAAUUUGCGGAAGUCAACAGAUUAAAUGAAUGGUUCAAUAGACCAUUAGAAUGAAAUUCAUAAUUUAAAAUCAAAUCUGAAAACAUUAAUCCAACAUUGUCUACAAAGCCUCCAUCCUUAAAACAUCCACUAAGUUGGGACAUGACUUCGAUUAUGCCAAAGAAAAUCCAAAAGUAUGUGAAUAUUUUCAUAUAACAUUUAAAUUUUAAAAAGAAAAUAGAGAAUAGAAAAGUUUUUUUAGGUGAAUAUAAAAACCGAUGUGGUUAAUGAAAUAGAUAUGACGUGGCUUAGUUUUUCUGAUGUGGACAUGACAUGUCAUCCAAAUCAUAGCAACCGAGGAACACGCACUGAUAGAGGAACUUAAAAUUCAUGAUUUGAAUGAGUUCAAGUAUCUGGUUGAAAUCUUGUGGAGUAAGAGGAUCCAACUUACAAAUGGACACAAAUAAAAGGGACUAUUAGACCAUUUCGCCAACUGUAAAAAGUACUAGUUUACAAAUGAAAUGAAACAACUAAUGGACAAUUUUACAGAAUUUAUUAAGCUAAUCAAAGAAAUGCAUACUGAUCUUCUAAACUGCUCUUGAUACAACUCUAGUCUUCAUGUCUGUUAAAAAGAAGAAGAUAAAAAUAGAUUGAAUGAGUUAAUAGCUCAAAAUGUAGUACUCUUUCCAUCUCAUUAUAGACAUAUGAUAGUAGACAAAUGAUAUAUAAGCUAAAGUUAUUUUGAAAAGGACUGUCAAGUGCACUAAGCUCCCCGCUAUGUAGGGGUUUAGGUAGGGUCGGACCACAAGGGUCUAUUAUGUGCAACCCUAAUAUGCAUAAGCUAAAGUUAUAUUUGACAUAUCAAAAGUAUCCUUAGAAUCUUGUGGUACAUGAGAUACCAUCCCAUUUUAUAAGAACAUAUCAUUACGUUGAUCUUGUUGAUUAAAUAUCUCUGUUGUGUACCUGAACAAAGACGUCUAUCUUCACGCGUAAGGACUUUGCGGGGAGAUGGAAAAAGGGACGGUUUUAGGGACAUGAUCACGAUGAGCUCAGUCACUACGAAUGCUCAACGUUUCAAUUCGCGUUGGAAUGUUCAAUACACAUUGUACUGAAAGUUUUCAACACCCUCCACAUUGCAUAUUAGUAUAUGAAGAUUAGGCAAACAAAAGUAUAGCCUAGCGUACUAAAGCUCCCACUAUGCACAGGGUCUUGGGAAGGGUCCAUCAUAGGAGUGUUCUGUACGUAUCCUUACCUUGCAUUUCUGGCAGAGGCUGUUUCCAAGUCUUGAACACCUGACCUCUUGGUCACAGUUUGUCACGAUCCGAACCGGGGCCUUAGCCGUGACGAGCAUCCCGAACAAUGUAGAUCCGGACGCCUUUCUAACUUGUAAUCACAUACACUGUCCACAUAUGAAAAAGAUAAUGCGGAAAUAAAUAAUGAAAAGGAAUCAUGGUCAUUAAAUAUGAAUUCAAAUCUUAAUGAGAACUGCAAUUCAUAACAUCUGAUUUAUAUCUGACUCAGUCUACGAAAUCUCUACUACAUCUCAAAAGAAACUGUAUGAAAACUGGGACAAGGCCCCUAAAUAACUGCAAGACAUCAGGCCUUCUGAAAUAUAGAAGGCUCACCAACUGAACACUGCACUGCUGUCUGAAGAAUCUACUGCUUAUCAGGACCCCUAGAUUGAGCCUCAGAACCUGGAAAGGAGGGGGUCAAUACAGAUGUACUGGUACGCGAAGAAAUCCAAAAUAAAGCUCGUAUAUAAGCAAAGUAGUUAAGAGCUAGUCAUAAACACCAUGAAAGAUAUAAUUUCAAAACACAUGAUCAUUUUUUUGAAAACAUAACGCCUUUCUAUCAAUGCAAUCUAUUCUUUGUAUUACUUCUGAGUUAGGUGGCACUCCCCUACAAGUCUAAUAUUCCACGGGCUAUAUGGAAUCCGCCAUUGACCCGAUGGGGAAGCCUCCAACCCAAGUUUGCCGCAAGAGUUGGAGUCUCUGAAUCUACUAUGCCACAGGGCUGUCGCCAACGUACAAUAAUAUACCCGUAUCGGCAAAAUACGAUUUCGGGCAAUGAGUUGUCUGAACUCAUGCCUUAUUCGGGGAACCACCUAAGCUCUCUUUAUGACCAAUUUUAGCCUGUUCUGAAACAUGCAUCAUUCUAGUUUUAAAAUUUGAAAAUCUGAUUUCAAACAUGGAUUCUAUUCUGUUCUGAAUUUCUAUGGCAUUAUCUGAGUUGGUGCCGUCACACCAAGACUUGCAAGUCCUAUUUCUGAGCCAUAAUGUAUCAUGCAUGGUUCUUUCAUUAGAACUCAAUUCAGACCACCCAAACAUGCAAAUAGUAUAAGAGAUUUCAUGUCCUAAAUAAUGUAAGUCAAAAACUAUGCAAGAAUUUUUCAACAUAUGGUGGUCAUGUGCUUUUGGCAAAACCAUUCAACUCUUUCAUUUAAUGUAUACUCAAUAUUUUUGCAACUUAACCAGCCCUCUAUUUUCAAUUCAAAACCAUAAUCAAAUCAUAACAUAUUUCAAGACAUUUCAUACCAUGCUUUUCAAGGUACAUUCAAAACAAUCCAUUUCAUAUGAAAAGUGGAAGAAAACUCAUAACAAAGAGAGAGAUUCUAUGUAAGUCAUGCUCUCAAUUCAAAUAUCAUCCUUAAACACAUACAAACAUACAUAUACAUAAGAUUUCAAAUCAAUUUAGGGGAAGGCCUAAAGACCAAAACAAUAUUAUCAAGGCUUCUAAAAACAUGAUAAAAAUCGUAAAUCCAAAACCCUUUUCUUAAAGUCAUAAUUUCUAAACCCUUUGCAUAAUUAAAAGAAGAUUUUUAUGCCCGUGAAAUUUUAGGAAAACCCCACGUACCUCAAAUUAAGAAAUUGAUAGGUGAUUCUUGAAGCCUACGGUUUGGGGAUUCCAAAUCUUCAAUCAAAUUUUAAAGCCCAUGGUUGAAUCUUGAGAUAUAUGAAAUUUUAGUUUGAAACCCUAAGGGGUGUUCUUGCUGGAUUUUAAUGAAAAUAUCAAUAAAAUGGUAUUUUGGGAGUUAAAUCUCGUGUUUGGGUGUAUUAGGGCGAAGGAAAAAGACCCAAUUGCCCUUUAAAAUGCGGACUUUUAAAAGCUGAAAUAACUGGGCAUCGACAUUGCGGGCAACGUGGUAUGUCGGGUCAUAGACGCGAUACUCGAUGCAUCGCGCCACCAUCGCGUCGAGCCUCAGUACUUUUUCCUACACAAAAAUUGACCAACGCGAUAGGCGACGCGGCGUUCCAAGAUCGUGUUGGUCCACUAUUUUGGAAUACCAAACGAGGUCUACACGCAUUCCAAAAAAUCUGAAACUCGUCCGUAAACAACCAUUGACCUCCCGGAUCAUGAAUUAGCUAACAUAAUGACUAUUGAGGGUCGGGAAGGUCAAAAAUAAAGUCGUCACGGAUUUAGAGCUAAAACAUGAGUCUAAGUCUCUUGACACUAAGAAGAAUUUUCUAAUCUUUAACUUUAUGAGCAUGCUACUAAAAGCUAACGAAUGUACGACUUUUACAGGGUGUUACAUUAUCCCCCUUGGGAUCAUUUGUCUUCGAAUGAUGUCACAGAAUACAGACAAGCACGAUUACAAGCAUACUAAGGACAUGAAAAGAAUAAUACAAGGAUCGUACCUUCCGUCUCAUCAUUCACCAGAUUAAACAGGUUUGGGUAUCUAGCUCUCAUGUCAUCUUCUAACUCCCAAGUUGUUUCUUCAACUUUCUGGUUUCUCCACAACACCUUAACCAAAACUAUCUCUUUGCUUCUCAACUUCCGAACUUGGCGAUCCAAGAUUGCAAUAGGCUCUUUUUCAUACGAUAAGGAGUCUGUCACUUUGAUCUCCUCUACAGGCAAUACUAGAGAAUGGUCCCCAAUGUACUUUUUUAACAUGGACACAUGAAAUACUGGAUGGACAGAACCCAGACUAGCAGGUAACUCUAACUCAUACGCGACUUCACCUAUUCUUUUCACAACCUGGUAUGGUCCUAUAUAGCGAGGACUCAACUUCUCUUUCUUCCCAAAACGCAUAACUCCCUUCAUAGGGGAGACUUUGAGAAAAAACCAAUCACCAACUUCAAAUUCUAACUCCUUUCUUCUAACAUCAACAUAGGAUUUAUGUCUACUAUGAGAUGUCUUAAGUUGUUCUCUAAUAAUUUUCACGUCCUCCAUUGCCUGGUAAACAAGAUCAGGCCCAAACAACUGAGUCUCGUCCACUUUAUACCACCCUAUGAGUGAUCUACACCUUCUCCCAUACAAUGCUUUAAAGGGAGCCAUCUUAAUGCUGGCAUGGUAGCUGUUAUUAUAUGCAAAUUCUAUUAGUGGUAAGUGAUCUGCCCAACUACCUUUGAAGUCAAUCACAGAGGCCCUCAACAUAUCCUCAAGGGUCUGAAUCGUACGCUCGGCUUGCCUAUCGUCUGAGGGUGGAAAGUAGAACUCAGGUUCACUUGGGUACCUAAACCUCUCUAAAAUAUCUCCAAAACUGUGAAGAGAAUUGCAUACCUCGUCAGCUAUGAUAGAUACAGGUGCCCCAUGCAAACGGACUAUCUCCUCAAUAUAUAUCUUGGCAUAAUCAUCCCCUGAAUAAUUAGUCCUCACAGGCAUAAAGUGAGAUGACUUAGUCAGCGUGUCAACAAUCACCAAAAUAGAAUCAUACUGAUUUCGGGACUUUAGAAGCCCCAUAAUGAAGUCCAUAUUGAUCAUUUUCCACUUCCAUAAAGGCAAAGCUAUCCCUUGGGAUGUACCACCUGGCCUCAAAUGUUUUACUUUUACUUGUUGGCAAUUUAGACACUUAGAAACAUAGUUAGCCACAUCACGCUUCAUAUUGUUCCACUAAAAUAUAGUUUUCAAAUCAUGAUACAUCUUGGUAAAGCCUGGAUAAACAACAUACCUCAAAGUGUGAGCUUCAUUGAGGAUUCUUUUCUGCAGACCAUCUAUAUCUGGCACACAUAAUCUACCCUGAUAUCUCAGAAUAACAUCCCACCAGUUCCAAAGGACAUCACCUUAUGUUUCCCCACAUCAUUCUUAAUUUGCAUCAAAAUGGGAUCUUCAGCCUGCUUCUCUUUGACUUCUGCAUAAAGAGAUAAUUUUGUUAUUUCCUGAACAACCACUCCUCCAUCGUUAGAAUCUAAGAGUCGCACCUCAAGGUUUGAAAGUUGAUGAAUAUCCUUCACCAUAUCCCUCUUUCCUUCCUCAACAUGAGAAAGACUACCCAUAGAUAAAUUGCUGAGGGCAUCGGCUACCAUAUUUGCCUUGCUCGGAUGAUAGUGCAGGCUUAUGUCAUAAUCCUUUAAAAGCUCCAUCCAAUAUUUCUGCCUGGGGUUUAGUUCUUUCUUCGAGAAAACAUACUGCAAACUCUUGUGGUUAGUAAAUAUAUCAACAUGUACCCCAUAAAAAUAAUGUCGCUAGAUCCUAAACGCAAACACCAUAGCCACUAACUCUAAUUCAUGAGUGGGGUAAUUGCGCUCAUGCACUUUCAACUGCCUAGAUGCAUAAGCCACUACCUUACCGUGCGAUAUAAGUACACACCCAAGUCCCACACGGAUACAUCACAGUACACAGCGAAACCCUCUAUACCUUUCGAAAGAGUCAAAAUAGGAGUAGUAGUCAACUUGUCUUUCAACUUCUCAAAGCUAUUCUCACAGGAGUCAGACCACACAAAAUUCACCUUUUUUUGAGUCAACUUUGUAAGCGGAGCAUCUAUGGAGGAAAAAAUCUCUACAAACCUUUUGUAAUACCCUGCCAAACCCAGGAAGCUCCUGUAAUACCCCGCAUAUUUCUAAGCUAGGAAGUGAAUAAGUAUUCCUACAUGUGAAAUCUCUUAUCUUGUGAUUCAUACUUGAGUACAUGACUUACAAUGAAUAUACUAGUGGUAGGAUAGCUUAUGAUGCAUUAAUCAUGUUCAUAUGAGUCACUUGAGGUAAUACAAGCUAAGAGUUUUUGAAUCCAUCAAGUUAUAGUGUUUGAUUUUGCAAGGGUCAUAUUAGAAUGAGUAUAACUCGAUGUUAUUAUGGUAUUUUGGAUUAUUUAGAUCCACCAAAUUAUAGAGAAUCGAAUUAGCUUUCCAACAAUACCAAUUUCUCUUUAAUCCAAUACCCGAGCGAAAAGUUAUGCCCAUUUUCGUGAGAGACAGUAAGCAUAGGCGAUUGGUUAGGCGCCGCCUAACCUAAGCAUAGGCAAUUGGUUAGGCACCGCCCAACCCAAGCAUAGGCGAUCACUUGGGCGCCGCCUAAGCCAAUUCCAGGUGUCAAAAACAGUCCGUCUUAAGUUAUUUUAAAGGUAAUUAAGUCUUUAAGUACUUCUUACACGUCCCUAAACUUAACCCUAUGAAAUAUAUAUCUUAUAAACAUAUUACAACCCUAUUUUCAUCUCAAAGCUCAUCAUCCAAGAGCACUAAAGGAGAAAAACAACUAGGGUUGCAUAAUUAAGCUUGAAGAUCCGAUUUCAAGGAAAUUCUUCCAUUAAUCAUCAAGAAUCUUCCUUCUAAGGUAUACGUAGUGUUCAUCUAUGGAUUUAAUUCGUUCAUAGAAUUCAAGAAUCAAUCUUUAAAAUACAAAAGCUUGGUUGAUUGUGGUGAUAUGAUCAUACCUAUAUCGAUGCUUGUUUGUUUUCCUUUUUUUCAUUAUAAAGUAUGAUUUCUAUAUUGUUGGGUGUUGAUGAUCAUGUUGUUGAUAUUGGGUGAUUCCCAAGAUGGAAUCUUUAUAUGUUUUUUUGUGAAUUCAUGAUAUCAUAUGAGUUGGAAACAUGUAAAUUUGGUUGUUCAUGAUGUAUAAUUUGAUGAAUUCACCUAUGCUUAAGAUGUGCAUGUAAGGUGUUUGAUAAAAUGCCUAAGGAACUAGAAAUCAUGCAAUAUAGCUAAAUUGUGACUAAGUGAAGGAUUCAUGAUAUGCCCUUACGUUCCAAUGACUUCUAUGUUGUUAAUGUGCCUUGUAAAUAUUGUUGGAAUACCCAUGAACUAUUCUUAUGAGAUUAUGCUAUGUUUACUUGCAAAUCCUACUUAUGAACAAGAUGUAUGAUAACUAUGCAAUCCACAUGAAUUUCCAUGUAUUGGUAUGUGUUGCCAAUAUGAUUAUGCAAUGAACAUGAUAUUAAGAUUUUGCAAGUACUUCCAUGUGUAUGAAAUCCUUUCCAUGCAAUACAUUGUUGAUAACCAUGCUUAGUAUGAGAUCCCUACUUAUGAUAUUAUAAAUUAUGGACUCUACUCUUAUGAUCAAGUCAGUCAUAUGUGUCAAUUCCUUCCAUCGAGUCCUGGGGGUACUUGUACCCAAAAACUAUAGCUAUGUGCCUAGAUCCAUGUCAUGUUUUAUGAUAUCUGAACUCAAGCUAUGAUUCCAUAGACUUCAGUCAGUCAUGUGACUUAAUAAAACCUCAUGAUCUUGGUUAGUUGUCAGAUAUCAGUAACAUUCCGCCAGUCAACGGAAUAUAGUAAGAUCAAGUCAUGCACAGUCAUUUAUUCAUGUCCAGUCCCUCCAGAUGGGAGUAAAGGUUAGCACCGAGUGAACCCAAGGAUGGAAACUCACCCGCCAGUUUUGGGUGUGAUUCUUAGUAGCAAUCCUUGUGUUCCAGAACUACGUAGCCAGCGUAGGUUGAGACAUCUUAACCCUUCAGAUUAGGGUUAAUGAGGUGGCUUAACCCGUCAGUUUAGGGUUCCCACCGUUCUCAUUGAGUACCCACCAGAUAAGGGUCACUCACAGCUGUCCUUACCAGUGGUGCAGUAUUGACACCCCUCCAGUCGGGGCAGAGAUUGGACCCCAGCUUAGCCAUAACAGCAUACACGGGGCAUGUCGGUUAAAUACUACUUCCCAUAGUUUCAGUAACAGUCUUAGUAAAAGAACUCAGGGCAUUCUUCAGAUUUCAGUAUAUACAGAACUGUCACAUACAGUCAUCCAUAUUAUCAAUUUCAGUAUCAAUCUCAGUGAAAGCACUCAGGUCGUUCUUUAGAUUUUAGUAUAUACAGGAGUGUCAGAUACAGUCAUCCAUGUUAUCAGUUUCAGUAUCAGUUAGGACAGUUAUCAGUAAACUAUGUAUUAGCUUACAAGUCAUUCUAUCACGUAUUCAUGGUCCCAGUUUCUAUAUAUGUGUGUUUGCACUCCCACGUUCAUAUUAGUCAGUCAGUGUUGUUCAUGCAUGAAACCCUUUAUGUUCAGCCUACCUUCCUCGUAUACUCAGUACUCUAGUUGUACUAACGCAUUUGCGCUAUGGUGCUUUCUUUUCAUGUUACACCAUAGGUUCCGAGACACGAGCUCCAGCCCAGCAGUAGCGGUAGUAUUCCAGUCGCAGAGACACAGUGAGUCCUCAUUGAUUCGAGGACAAUAUGAUUUGAUUUAUUUAUUUAUUCUUCAAUUCAGUUAUAUGAAGUUAGUUGGAGACAUGUUCCUACAACUCCUUAUUCAGACAUUUUAGAGGCUUUCAGAUCUAUUUUUUGAUUUAUGUCCAGAUUUAGUUAUUUUGGGUAUUUUCGCUCACAUGAUUUUAUUCAGUUGAACCUUAUAGCCUUACAGUUCCAUGUAUUCCGUAUUAUUAUAUUAUGAUUUGUAGUAUACAGGUACAGAUAUUAGUCAUGGGUUAGCUUGUGGUCCCUCAGGGUCAUGAGCACCGUGUAGCAUUCUGGUUCAGCAAAUUGGGGUGUUACAAACUUGGUAUGAGAGCCUAAGGUUCAAUAGAGUCCUAUGAAGUCUGAAAGCCGCAUCUAGUAGAGUCUUGUACAUGGGUGUGUUGCGCGCCACAUUUAUGUGUGGGAGGCUAUAAGAUAUUUUAAGAACAGUCCCCUUUCUUCAUUAUUCAUGUCAUGCUAGUGAGCAUAAUCACAAGUUAAGCUCUCAGUCUAAUCUAUUCUUCUUUUACUCCAGACCAUGGCCCCAAAGAGAAGAAACCAGCCUGCUCCUCAGCCCGAAGAUCCUUUAGACGAACAUGUUUCCCAUGCGGAGUUUAGAGCCGCAUUUACCACACUUGGUCAGUCCAUGGCUGCAUAGAAUGAAUGGCCACCAGUCAUUCCAGCCAAUCCAGUGGCCACUCCCAAAGCAGCUAGGGUUCGGGACUUUACCCGAAUGAACCCUUCAUCUUUCCAUAGGUUAAAGUCUGAUGAGGACCCUCAGGAGUUCAUUGACCAAGUCCAGAAGGUCAUUGACAUCAUGGGUGUUACUUCUAUUGAGAGUGCUGAGUUAGCCACCUACCAGUUAUAGGAUGUUGCUCAUGAUUGGUACAAACAAUGGUAGUCUGAGAGGUUAGAUGAUUCAGGCCCUAUCGAGUGGGAGGAAUUUGUCACGACCUUCUUAAAUAGAUUCUUUCCCAAAGAGCUGAGGGAAGCCAAAGUUCUUGAGUUCAUUAACCUCAGGUAGGGGAAUAUGACGGUUAGGGAGUAUUCUCUCAGAUUUACUCAGCUAGCCAGGUAUGCUCCUCAUGUGGUUGCAUACAAUAGAGCUAAGAUGAGCAAGUUCGUAUCAGGGGUCAACGAUAGUGUGGUAAAUAAGUGUAGGUCUGCGAUGCUGAUCGGUGAUAUGAACUUAGCAAGAUUCAUGACCUAUGCCCAGCAAGUAGAAGAGCAGAAGUUUAAGACUAGGGAGAGGCAGAACAAGAGAGCAAGGUCAGGUAAUUUCAACUUUGCUCACCCCAAGUCAGAUGAAGGAAACCGUUCACAGUUUUACUCCAAGUCAGCCGUUCCAGCUCCUUUCUCUGCCAGCGCUCCAGUGCUGAAGUUUAGAGACGGCAAUAGAGAUAAAGCGCCAGGCUCUAAAUCUCAGGGCAGUGUUAGUAGUACCCGAAUAAAUCCCCUUUGUCAGACUUAUGGUAAGAACCACAAGGGCAUUUGCAGAGUCGGUAGUAAUGUCUGUUUUGGUUGUGGCAUGCCAGGCCACAAAAUUAGGGAGUGUCUGCAGUCAAGUUUUCAGGGUCAGAAAUAUCAUUCUACAGCUCAGUCCAGUCGCCCAAACCAGUAGGGUGCUAAUUCCAGUGCUACCAAUGGGUAACGCCCAAACAGACUCUAUGCUCUUCAGUCUCGGCAGGAUCAGGAAAAUUCUCCUGAUGUCUUUACUGGUAUGUUACAGAUUUUCCAUGUUCAUGUUUAUGCUUUGCUAGACCCAUGUGCAUCUUUGUCUUUUGUUACUCCAUACAUAGCAAGUGAUUUUGGAAUCAGUCCUGAAGUCCUAGCAGAGUCCUUCUCAUUCUCUACCCCAGUGGGUAAAACCAUUAUCGCCCAGCGGGUAUACAGGAACUGCCCGGUUAUGAUAUCUCAAAAAUCCAUGUCAGCAGAUUUAGUAGAGUUAGAGAUAACUGAUUUUGAUGUCAUUCUCGGCAUGGAUUGGCUUCAUUCUUGCUAUGCCACAAUCGACCGUCGGAAUAGGAUAGUUCAGUUUUAGUUCCCGAAUGAGUCCAUCUUAGAGUGGAAGGGUUGCAUUUCAGCGUUCAGGGGUCAAUUUUUUUCCUACCUUCGGGCAAUAAAAAUGAUUUCUAUGGGGUGUAUGUAUCAUCUCAUGCAUGUUAAAGAUUCUAAUUCUGAAUCUCCCAGCCUCAAAACAGUCCCUGUUGUUAGUGAAUACUCAGACAUUUUUCCUGAAGAUCUCCCAGGCAUUCCUUCUAAAAGAAAAGUAGACUUUAGUAUAGACCUUCUUUUAGAUACUCAACCUAGUUCUAUUCCGCCAUAUAGAAUGGCACCGGCAGAACUCAAGGAACUGAAAGAUCAGUUGAAGGAUCUCUUAGAUAAAGGAUUCAUCAGACCCAGCAUUUCCCCAUGGGGUGCACCAGUGUUAUUCGUGCGCAAGAAAGAUGGUUCUCUCAGGAUAUAUAUUGAUUAUUAUCAACUCAAUAAGGUAACGGUCAAGAACAGAUAUCCUCUUCCCAGGAUUGAUGAUCUAUUCGACCAACUUCAGGGUGCCAGUUACUUCUCCAAGAUAGACCUCAGAUCAGGCUAUCAUCAGCUCAGUGUUAGAGAAUAUGACAUUCCGAAGACAGCUUUCCGUACUCUGUAUGGUCACUUCAAAUUUUUAGUCAUGUCAUUUGGUCUUACCAAUGCCCCUGCAGCUUUUAUGGAUUUGAUGAACCGUGUGUUCAAGCAGUACUUAGACAUGUUUGUCAUAGUCUUCAUAGAUGAUAUUCUGGUCUAUUCUCGCACAGAGCAUGAUCAUGCAGACCAUCUCAGGAUAGUUCUUCAGACUCUCAGGGAUCACCAGUUCUUUGCUAAUUUUAGCAAGUAUGAAUUUUGGCUAAGAUUAGUAGAAUUCCUUGGCCAUAUUGUUUCCGGUGAUGACAUUAGAGUAGAUCCUCAGAAAACUGACGCAGUAAAAAACUAGCCCAGACCCGUAUCUCCAUCAGAUAUUAGGAGUUUCUUGGGUUUGGUUGGCUAUUAUAAACGGUUUGUCGAGGGAUUUUCUUCUAUUGCAUAUCCCAUGUCCAGAUUGACUCAGAAGAAGAUUAAGUUUCAGUGGUCAAAUUCAUGCAAGAAGAGCUUUCAAGAGUUGAAGGCUCAACUCACCUCCGCUCCAAUUCUACCUAUUCCAGAUGGUUCAGACAGUUUUGUAGACUAUUGUUAUGCAUACAGAGUGGCUUUAGGUUGUGUCCUCAUGCAGCAUGGUAAGGUCAUAGCCUACGCCUCCAGACAGUUAAAGCCACAUGAGAAGAAUUAUCCUACUCAUGAUCUUGAGUUUGCAGCGGUAGUUUUUGCCUUGAGGAUUUGGAGGUAUUAUCUCUAUGGAGUUCAUGUAGAUGUCUUCACAGACCAUAAAAGCCUCCAGUAUGUCUUUUCCCAGAAAGAUCUCAAUCUUCGCCAGAGAAGGUAGUUAGAGCUCUUGAAGGAUUACGACAUGAGUGUUCUUUAUCAUCCAGGCAAGGCCAAUAUUGUGGCUGACGCUCUCAGUUGACUCUCCAUGGGUAUUAUUUCUCACGUUGAGGAUAGUAAGAAAAAAAUGGCUCAGGAGAUCCAUCAGCUUCCAAACUAGGCGUUCGCUUAGUCGAUUUUUCAGAGGGUGGUGUAUGUGUUCAUAGUAGUUCAGAUUCAUCUCUAGUUUCUGAGAUAAAAGAGAAACAAGACAGGGAUCCUAGCCUUGUCAAGCUCAAAGAGUCAGUUCAGAAUCAGAAAGUCGAGGUUUUCUCCCAAGGGGGAGAUGGUGUUCUUCGUUGUCAGGGUCGUCUAUGUGUUCCAGGUGUAGAUAAAUUGAGGCAGCGAAUACUUGUAGAAGCACAUGGUGCGCGAUACUCUAUUUAUCCAGGGGCUACUAAGAUGUACCGCGACAUGCGGGAGAUUUAUUGGUGGAGUGGGAUGAAGAGAGAUAUUGCAGAGUUUAUGGCUAAGUGCUCUACAUGUCAGCAUGUUAAGAUAGAGCAUCAGAAUCCUAGUGGUUCCAUACAAGAGUUCACCAUUCCUACUUGGAAGUGGGAAGAAGUUAGCAUAGACUUCGUGAUGGGUUUACCUAGAACUCGUCAUCAGCAUGAUUCAGUCUGGGUCGUUAUAGAUAGAAUGACCAAGUCAGCUCAUUUUCUUCUUGUUCGUACUUCUUAUUCCGCCGAGUAUUAUGCCAAACUCUAUACCAGGGAGUUAGUCAGAUUACACAGUAUUCCACUAUCUAUUAUCUCAGACAGAGGUACCCAGUUCACUUCUCACUUUUGGAAAGCAUUCCAAAAGGGUCUCGGUACCUAAGUCCAUCUCAGUACAAUAUUUUAUCCUCAGACAGAUGGUCAAGCAGAGAGGACCAUUCAGACUCUUGAAGAUAUGCUAAGGGCGUGUGAAAUUGACUUUAAGGAAAGUUGGGAUGACCACUUGCCUUUGAUUGAGUUUGCAUACAACAAUAGCUAUCAUUCUAGUAUUCAGAUGGCUCCAUUCGAAGCUCUCUAUUAUAGGAGAUGUAGAUCUCUGAUUGGUUGGUUUGAAGUUAGUGAGGCCUCANNNNNNNNNNNNNNNNNNNNNNNNNNNNNNNNNNNNNNNNNNNNNNNNNNNNNNNNNNNNNNNNNNNNNNNNNNNNNNNNNNNNNNNNNNNNNNNNNNNNNNNNNNNNNNNNNNNNNNNNNNNNNNNNNNNNNNNNNNNNNNNNNNNNNNNNNNNNNNNNNNNNNNNNNNNNNNNNNNNNNNNNNNNNNNNNNNNNNNNNNNNNNNNNNNNNNNNNNNNNNNNNNNNNNNNNNNNNNNNNNNNNNNNNNNNNNNNNNNNNNNNNNNNNNNNNNNNNNNNNNNNNNNNNNNNNNNNNNNNNNNNNNNNNNNNNNNNNNNNNNNNNNNNNNNNNNNNNNNNNNNNNNNNNNNNNNNNNNNNNNNNNNNNNNNNNNNNNNNNNNNNNNNNNNNNNNNNNNNNNNNNNNNNNNNNNNNNNNNNNNNNNNNNNNNNNNNNNNNNNNNNNNNNNNNNNNNNNNNNNNNNNNNNNNNNNNNNNNNNNNNNNNNNNNNNNNNNNNNNNNNNNNNNNNNNNGAAGUCCCUCUAGUCAAGGUUCUUUGGCGAAAUCAGUCUCAUGAGGGAGCUAUUUGGGAAGCAGAAGCAGAUAAGCAUACCAAGUAUCCUCACCUCUUCCCCGUCAAUUCAGAUCAAGCUCAAGGUAAUAGUUCUCCUUAAGCUUAUUAAGUUUUAUGUUCAUGUUUCCAGUAUAAACUUGGUACCUAUUAACCGUUUCAUACUCAGUCAUGCAUUCAUGUGUCAGUUGUGCGUGCAUCAGAUAUGUACGAUUUCAGUAUGUUCAGUAUGUCAGUCAUGAGAUCAAGUUUCAGUUCUUCAUGUUCAGUUCAGGUUCUAUUAUCUUGUAUCCCUUCUCAAUAAAUUCUCAUUCGAGGACUAAUGUUCCCAAGGGGGAGAUAUUGUAAUACCCCACAUGUUUCUAAGCUAGGAAGUGAAUAAGUAUUCCUACAUGUGAAAUCUCCUAUCCUGUGAUUCAUACUUGAGUACAUGACUUACAAUGAAUAUCCUAGUGGUAGGAUAGAUUAUGAUGCAUUAAUCAUGUUCAUAUGAGUCACUCGAGGUAAUACAAGCUAAGAGUUUUUGAAUCCAUUAAGUUUUAGUGUUUGAUUUUGUAAUGGUCAUAUUUGAAUGAGUAUAAUUAGAUGUUAAUCUGGUACUUUGGCUGAUUUAGACACAUCAAAUUGUAGAGAAUCAAAUUAGCUUUCCAACGAUACCAAUUUUGCCUUAAUCCAAUACCCGAGCGAAAGUUAUACCCAUUUUUGUGAGAGAUAGUAAGUAUAGUCGAUUGGUUAGACGCUGCCUAACCCAAGCAUAGGCGAUUGGUUAGGCGCCGCCCAACCCAAGCAUAGGUGAUCACUUGGGCGCUGCUUAAGCCAAUUUCGGGUGUCAAAAACACUCCGUCUUGAGUUAUUUUAAAGGCAAUUAAGUAUUUAAAUACUCCUUACACGUCCCUAAACUUAACCCUAUGAAAUAUAUAUCUCAUAAACAUAUUACAACCCUAUUUUCAUCUCAAAGCUCAUCAUCCAAGAGCACUAAAGGAGAAAAACAACUAGGGUUGCAUAAUUAAGCUUGAAGAUCCGAUUUCAAGGAAAUUCCUCCNNNNNNNNNNNNNNNNNNNNNNNNNNNNNNNNNNNNNNNNNNNNNNNNNNNNNNNNNNNNNNNNNNNNNNNNNNNNNNNNNNNNNNNNNNNNNNNNNNNNNNNNNNNNNNNNNNNNNNNNNNNNNNNNNNNNNNNNNNNNNNNNNNNNNNNNNNNNNNNNNNNNNNNNNNNNNNNNNNNNNNNNNNNNNNNNNNNNNNNNNNNNNNNNNNNNNNNNNNNNNNNNNNNNNNNNNNNNNNNNNNNNNNNNNNNNNNNNNNNNNNNNNNNNNNNNNNNNNNNNNNNNNNNNNNNNNNNNNNNNNNNNNNNNNNNNNNNNNNNNNNNNNNNNNNNNNNNNNNNNNNNNNNNNNNNNNNNNNNNNNNNNNNNNNNNNNNNNNNNNNNNNNNNNNNNNNNNNNNNNNNNNNNNNNNNNNNNNNNNNNNNNNNNNNNNNNNNNNNNNNNNNNNNNNNNNNNNNNNNNNNNNNNNNNNNNNNNNNNNNNNNNNNNNNNNNNNNNNNNNNNNNNNNNNNNNNNNNNNNNNNNNNNNNNNNNNNNNNNNNNNNNNNNNNNNNNNNNNNNNNNNNNNNNNNNNNNNNNNNNNNNNNNNNNNNNNNNNNNNNNNNNNNNNNNNNNNNNNNNNNNNNNNNNNNNNNNNNNNNNNNNNNNNNNNNNNNNNNNNNNNNNNNNNNNNNNNNNNNNNNNNNNNNNNNNNNNNNNNNNNNNNNNNNNNNNNNNNNNNNNNNNNNNNNNNNNNNNNNNNNNNNNNNNNNNNNNNNNNNNNNNNNNNNNNNNNNNNNNNNNNNNNNNNNNNNNNNNNNNNNNNNNNNNNNNNNNNNNNNNNNNNNNNNNNNNNNNNNNNNNNNNNNNNNNNNNNNNNNNNNNNNNNNNNNNNNNNNNNNNNNNNNNNNNNNNNNNNNNNNNNNNNNNNNNNNNNNNNNNNNNNNNNNNNNNNNNNNNNNNNNNAAGUCAUGCACAGUCAGUUAUUCAUGUCCAAUCCCUCCAGAUGGGAGUAGAGGUUAGCACCGAGUGAACCCAAGGAUGGGAACUCACCCGCCAGUUCAGGGUGUGAUUCUUAGUAGCAAUCCUUGUGUUCCAGAACUACAUAGCCAGCGUAGGUUGAGAGAUCUUAACCCGUCAAAUUAGGGUUGAUGAGGUGGCUUAACCUGUCAGUUUAGGGUUCCCACCAUUCUCAUUGAGUACCCACCAAAUAAGGGUCAUUCACAGUUGUCCUUACCAGUGGUGCGGUAUUGACACCCCUCCAGUUGGGGCAGAGAUUGGCCCCCAGCUUAGCCAUAAUGGCAUACACGGGGUAUGUCAGUUAAACACUACUUCCCAUAGUUUCAGUAACAGUCUUAGUAAAAGAACUCAGGGCGUUCUUCAGAUUUUAGUAUAUACAAGACUGUCAGAUACAAUCAUCCAUGUUAUCAGUUUCAAUAUCAAGCUCAGUGAAAGCACUCAGGGCGUUCUUUAGAUUUUAGUAUAUACAGGACUGUCAGAUACAGUCAUCCAUGUAAUCAGUUUUAGUAUCAGUUAGGACAGUUAUCAUUAAACUAUGUAUUAGCUUACAAGUCAUGCUAUCACGUAUUCAUGGUCCCAAUUUCUAUAUAUGUGUGUUUGCACUCCCAUGUUCAUAUUAGCCAGUCAGUAUUGUUCAUGCAUGAAACCCUUUAUGUUCAGCCUACCUUCCUCGUAUACUCAGUACUCUAGUUGUACUGGCGCAUUUGCGCUAUGGUGCUUUCUUUUCAUGUUACACCAUAGGUUCCGAGACACGAGCUCCAGCCCAGCAGUAGCGGUAGUAUUCCAGUCGCAGAGACACAGCGAGUCCUCAUUGAUUCGAGGAAAAUAUGAUUUGAUUUAUUUAUUUAUUCUUCAGUUGAGUUUUACGGAGUUAGUUGGAGACAUGUUCCUUCAACUCCUUAUUCAGACAGUUUAGAGGCUUUCAGAUCUACUUCCAGAUUUACGUCCAGAUUUAGUUGUUUGGGGUAUUUUCGCCCACAUAAUUGUAUUCAGUUGAACCUUAUAGCCUUACAGUUCCAUGUAUUCCACAUUAUUAUAUUAUGAUUUAUAGUAUACAGGUACAGAUAGCAGUCAUGGGUUAGCUUGUGAUCCCUCGGAGUCAUGAGCAUCGUGUAGCAUUCCGAUUCACUAAAUCGGGGUGUUACAGCUCUGAAUGUUGGUUGGAGUCAUGGAUCUGGUCCAUUUUCUCACUGCCUCUACCUUUUGAGGAUCAACCUUAAUUCCCUCACUAGACACAAUCUGCCCAGUAAAGCAAUGGCAUUAACAAGAAUUCAUACUUGGAACAUUUGGCAUACAACCUAUGAUCUUUGAGAGUCUGAAGGAUAAUUCGGAGGUAAUAGGUAUGGUCCUCCUCACUCUUAGAAUAGACUAAAAUAUCUUCAAUGAAAACUCUGAAAAAUAGGUCUAGAAACUGAUGGAACACUGUAUUCAUUAGAUCCAUGAAAGCUGCAGGGGCGUUAGUCAACUCGAAGGACAUGACUAAGAAUUCAUAAUGACCGUAUCGGAUUCGGAAAGCUGUUUUGGGGAUGUCUUGCUCUCUAACCUUCAACUGAUAGUAUCUCGAACGAAGAUUUUCUUUAGAAAAACAUUUAGCACCCUGAAGUUGGUCAAAAAGACCAUCAAUCCUAGGAAGAGGAUAUUUAUUUUUAACAGUGACCUUAUUCAGCUGGCGGUAAUCUAUGAACAUACGGAAGGAACCAUCUUUCUUUGGGACGAAGAGUACAGGUGCACCCCAGGGAGAAACACUAGGACAGAUAAAACCUUUGUCUAGAAGGUCUGCUAGCUGUUCUUUCAAUUCUUUUAGUUCUGCUGGGGCCAUUCUAUAUGGAAAAAUGGAAAUGGGAUGGGUGUCUGGCAGUAAAUCAAUAUCGAAAUCUAUCUCCCUAUCAGGUGGUAUGCUUAGGAGAUCAUCUGGAAAAACUUCUGGAAAUUCAUUUACCACAAGGACUGAUUGAAAAUAUGGACUCUCAAUAUUAGAAUCUUUUACUCAAAUCAGAUGAUAUAGACAACCUCUAGAAAUGAGCUUACGAGCUCUAAGAUAAGAUAUAAAGUUCCCUCUGGGUGCUAGAGAAUGACCCGCCCACUCUAUGACUGGUUCAUUUAGAAAAGAAAAUGUGACUCUUCGGGUUCUACAAUUUAAUGUGGCAUAGAACGAAUGGAACCAGUCCAUUCCUCAGAUAGCAUCAAAGUCCACCAUUUCAAGCUCUGUUAGGUUUGCCACUAUAUCCUGACUAAAAAUAGACACAAUAUAAUUUCUAUACACCCUUCUAGCCACCACAGAAUCUCCCACCGGAGUGGAAACAGAGAAAGGUUUAGCAAUCACAUCGGGCUCAAACCCGAAUCCAACUGCCACAUAUGGGGUCACAUAGGAUAAGGUAGACCCGGAAUCAAGCAACACAUACACAUUAAGAGAAAAUAUUUAACAUACCCGUGACAAUAUCUGGCUAGGAUUUUGACUCCUGGCGGUUGGUCAAAGUAUUUAACUAGUUGUAACCGCUCCCAACAGCUGAAAUAGCUCCCUUUUGAGGCGGUAGUGGCGCAGAAGAAUUUGCUUGUGACUUGGAUCCCCCAACAUUACCUCUCAUCGUCGGACAAUCCUUAUGGAUAUAGACUGGCUGGCCGAACAAAUAACAUACCAUGGCACCUAGCUAGCAUCUUCCUAGAUGAUUCCUCCCACAUCUCCUACAGCGCGGGUAUGAUCGAGAGGUCUAAGCUAUACUUUUCUGAGACUGCACCCUUGGCCCUUGACUAGGCUGAAAAUUCUGGGGUCGCUGGUCGGCUGGACACUGGAGCACUAGCUGCGGGCUGCAUAUUACCCCAAUUCCUUCUCUUCUGCCAUUUGUUACUCUAAUUACCACUCUAUUGCUGCUGACUGUUGCUCUGGUCUGCUGUCUUGUCUCUCUUUGCCUGCCUGUACUUCUCCCUAGACUCAGUGAUUCUCUUCUUCUGCUCCUCUACCUGUUGUAUAUGGACUGACAGUCUAAAGAAGUCCAUAUCCCUAUUUAGCAUUGCCCCCUUACAUUCAAGCACUAAGUCAUCUGAAAGGCCAGAUGCAAAUUUUCUCAUUCGGGCUCUCAUAUUACUAGCCAUCUCUGGAGCAUACCGGUAUAGUUGGUUGAACUUCAUAGUGUACUCCUUGACACUCAUCUUUCCUUGAUUUAGGUUCAUAAACUCUUCAGCUUUGGCCUCCCUCAACUUUAAAGGAAAGAACCGAUCAAGAAAGGCUUCCACGAACUUACCCCAUACUGUGGGCUCAACAUUCUCACCCUUCGAAUCCUCCCACUCACUAUAACACUGAUUCACAACUUCUUUAAGCUGAUAAGAUGCUAAUUCCACCCCCUCCACCUCAUCUACAUGCAUCACCCUGAAAAUCUUCUCCAUCUUAUCUACGAACUCCUGUGGAUCUUUCACUACCUUGGUGCAGGUAAACUUGGGCGAAUUCAUCCUCAUGAACUGACCCACUCGUGUGGCCUCAGAUAUAAUGGAUGCAGACCCAACAUCUUCUGAUCAUUGAGUCUGUGCGACCACUAACUGCGCAAGUAUAUAAAUGGACUGCCGGAACUCAACAUUCAAAAUGUCCCCCUGGGAAGACUAGGGACGGUUUACAUUUGUCCUUGGAGCCCGAGGGGGACUGGUAAGGACUGGAGGUACUCCAAGAGUAGGGACAGGUUCUGGGGUGUGAGCUCUGUUACGAGUCCGCAUCCCAUGAGUGGGACGAACCUCAUCAGUCCGAGAGUUUUGAUCGAUCACGUGACGUGGAGGCAUGGCUGUUUUCUAAAAUUUAAGAGAUCAUUAAUUAGAGGACGUAUUAGACUCCAAAGCACGAAGUAAAUCACAAAGAGGGGAAACAUUCCUAAGCGCCUAGUGGCUUCCUGCUUAUAAUUGUGGCGCGCUACACACCCAUAAACAAGGCUUUCCCCGAUGGGAUUUUGCAGACACCUUAGGACUAUGAACCAUGCUUUGAUACCAAGUUUGUUAUGAUCCAAACCGGGGCCUUAGCCAUGACGAGCAUCCUAAACCAUGUUGAUCCGGAUGCCCUUCUAACUUGUAAUCACAUACACUAUUCACAUAUGAAAAAGAUAAUGCAGAAAUACAUAAUGAAAAAGAAUCAUGGUCAUUAAAUCUGAAUUCAAAUCUUAAUAAGAACUGCAAUUCAUAGCAUCUGAUUUAUAUCUGACUCAGUCUGCGAAAUCUCUACUAUAUCUCAAAACAAACUGUCUGAAAACUGGGACAAGGCCCCCAGUAGACCAAAAUCAUAAUAAUGAUAAAUAACUGCAAGACAUUAGGCCUUCUGAAAGAUAGAAGGGUCACCAACUGAACACUGCACUGCUGUCUAAAGAAUCUACUGCUUAUCAGGACCCCUAGACUGAGCCUCAGAACCUGGAAGGGAGGGGGGUCAAUACAGAUGUACUGGUACGCGAAGAAAUCCAAAAUAAUGCUCAUAUAUAAACAAAGUAUUUGAGAUAUAUUAAUAAACAUCAUGAAAGAUAUAAUUUCAAAACACAUGGGCAUUUUUUUGAAAACAUAAUGCCUUUCUGUCAAUGCAAUCUAUUCUUUGUAUUACUUCUAAGUUAGGUGGCACUCCCCUACAAGUCUAAUAUUCCACGAGCUAUAUGGAAUCCUCCAUUGACUCGGCAGGGAAGCCUCCAACCCAAGUUUGCCGCAAGAGUUGGAGUCUCUGAAUCUACUACGCCACAGGACCAUCGCCAGCGUAUGAUAAUAUACCCGUAUCGACAAAACACGAUUUUGGGCAAUGAGUUGCCUGAACUCAUGCCUUAUUCGGGGAACCACAUAAGCUCUCUUUAUGGAAAAUUUUAGCCUGUUCUGAAACAUGCAUCAUUCUAGUUUCAAAAUCUGAAAAUUUGAUUUCAAACAUGCAUUCUAUUCUGUUCUGGAUUUCCAUGGCAUUAUCUGAGUUGGUGUCGUCACACCAAGAAUUGAAAGUCCUAUUUAUAAGCCAUAAUGUAUCAUGAAUAAUUCUUUCAUUGAACCUAAAUUCAGACCACCCAAACAUCCAAAUAGUAUAAGAGAUUUCAUGUCCGAAACGUAAGUCAAAAACUAUGCAAGAAUUCUUCAACAUAUGGUGGUCAUGUGCUUUUGGCAAAACCAUGCACCUCUUUCAUUAUAUGUAUACUCAACAUUUUUUCAACAUAACCAGCCCUCUCUUUUGAAUUCAAAACCAUAAUCAAAUCAUAACAUAUUUCAAGACAUUUCAUAUCAUGCUUUUCAAGGUGCAUUCAAAACAAUCCAUUUCAUGUGAAAAGUGGAAGAAAACUCUUAACAAAGAGAGGGAUCUAUGUAAGUCAUGCUCUCAAUUCAAAUAUCAACCUUAAACACAUACAUACAUAUACAUAAGAUUUCAAAUCAAUUUGGGGAAGGCCUAAAGACCAAAACAAUAUCAUCAAGGCUUAUAAAAACAUGAUAAAAAUCGUAAAUCCAAAACCCUUUUCUUAAAGUCAUGAUUUCUAAACCCUUUGCAUAAUUAAAAGAAGAUUUCUAUGCCCAUGAAGUUUUAGAAAAAACUUACAUACCUCAAAUUAAGAAAUUUAUAGGUGAUUCUUGAAGCCUACGGUUUGGGGAUUCCAAAUCUUCAAUCAAAUUCUAAAACUCACAGUUGAAUCUUGAGAUAUAUGAAAUUUUUGUUUAAAACCCUAAGGGGUGUUCUUGCUGGAUUUUGAUGAAAACAUCAAUAAAGUGGUCUUUUGGGUGUUAAAUCCCAUAUUUGGGCGUAUUGGGGCAAAGGAAAAAGACCCAAUUGUCCUUUAAAAUGCAGACUUUUAAAAGCUGAAAUAACUGGGCAUCGACGUUGCGGGCAGCGCAGCGCGACGGGUCAUAGACGCGAUACUCGACGCGUCGCGCCACCAUCGCGUCGAGACUUAGUACUUUUUCCUGCACAAAAAUUGACCAAAACGAUGGGCGACGCGGCGCACCAAGAUCGCGUUGGUCCACUGUUUUGGAAUACCAAACGAGGUCUAAAUGCAUUCCGAAAAAUCCGAAACUCGUCUGUGAACACCCAUUGACCUCCCGAAUCAUGAAUUAUCUAACAUAACGACUAUUGAGGGUCGGGAAGGUCAAAAAUAAAGUCGUCAAGGAUUUGGAGCUAAAAAAUGAGACUAAGUCUCUUGAAAUUGAGAAGAAUUUUCUAAUCUUUAACUUUAUGAGCAUGCUAUUAAGAGCUAACGAAUGCACGACUUUUUCGGGGUGUUACACAGUCACAUGGCAGUAACUUUGCCAGAAGAUUAGGUGCUUCAAAAAUAAUUCCACAUCCUGGACACAAGCAAAAAAUGGAGUGAGAAGAGUUUUCAGGUCAUAAAGGUUUUCGGAGUUCUCAAGUAAUUCUCUUGUGAAGCAGCAAUUGGUAAUUUUACAUGAUUUAUUAUGCUAAAAAAGGUAGUCCGGUGCACUAAAGCUCCUGCUAUGCACGGGGUCCGAGGAAAGAUGUUUCUAUGUGACCAGGAGGUCAUGUGUUCAAGUAAGGGAAACAACUUAGAAAUGAAUUUUCUGAUUUGUCCACCUGUUUUAGGAUUUUCCUUCUCCCUUGUGGAUAAAAACCUCAAACGCAGAAUUCUGAUAAUGUUCAACUUGUGUUUCCCUGAUAUCCCUGCAUGACUUUUCAACAUAUUUAUUGCAAUUUCUUAGCUCAAUGGACUUUAGAGAAGGGAUCUCUUUGAAACAAGAAGGGACUCAAAACCAAGCAUACAAGGUUAGAGAAGGCAUCAUCCGUGACAAUCCGUUCUUCAAAGUGAAGUUGUCCAGCAUGUAAUUUCAAGACUCUGAGCUCAGGGAGCUCAUCAUCACGCACCUACCACUUAUUACUUUUAAAGUUGAUGCCUAUCAGUUUGAGCACUUGAAGGUUCUGAAGAGAAGCAAUUUCUGAUAAAUACUGAGGAUGCAGGAAAAAUUCCUUCAGAGUCAAGUUUCUUAGAUUUGGCGCGGAGUUUCCAAAGGGGAUUGUUUUAGUGUCAGCUGUGUAACUAAGAUGAAUCUUCAGUGUUACAAGUGUUGGAGUCCCACAUCGGUGGGUUAAAGGGUCCUUGGUCUCUUUAUAUGAUCUUGGGCAAUUCUCCCCUCAUGAGCUAGGCUUAAGGUUGAGUUAGGCUCAAGGUCCAUUUCUUUAUCAUGGUAUUAGAGCCAGGCCCACCCAGUUUAUUGUUUCUGAUGUUAGAAACCCCAUCUUACAUUGUCACGCACCAGAUAUCCAUCCCUGGGCAUGCGGGGGGUGUUUGAGUCCCACAUCGGUGGAUUAAAGGGGCCUUGGUCUCCUUAUAUGGUCUUGGGCGAGGUUGAUUUAGGCCAAGGUCCAUUUCUUUAUCAAUACAUGAGCUCCAUCUUUUAGGAUGAUACCCUUCACCAUGAAUGGAAAUGCGAUGAGCUACUUGCAUGUCACCAGAGAAGCACACAGAAAUUAGUAAAAUUAUAUGAAUUAAUUGUCAAUAUAACUUCAUUCACUAAAUAGAGCCAAAAGAGUAUCAAUGAUUGGUACAUUACCAUAAGAGACGCAUCUCUUCCUUUGCUCUCUCCUUGCAGAAAUCAUGCAAUAGGUCAUGAAUGCGACAUGCUUUGAUCUUACCUCAACAAGUAGUUCCCAUAAGAUUCUUCAAGUAGCCUUCUGCUAUAUCCUCCAAGCUCUUACCUUCGCAACUUUUUACAAAUCUCUCGGAGAUCCACAGCCGUGUUAACUUUGAAACAGGAAUGCUCCAAAGUAAAGAAGGCAAGACUUGAGAUUAUACGAUAAAAUCUGAUAACUUUGUUCAACAAUGGCCCUCGCAUCUUUGUGAAUGUGAGGAAAGAAAUUGUUGGCCAAUUGUUCCCAACAUUCCUCUUUCUUCUCCAUCUCGGCCAGAAUUCCAGCCACCAAAAUAACUGAAAGAGGCAGUUGUACACACUUUUUGGCUAUUUGUUGCCCGAUAUUUGUUAGGAGAGGAGAGAAACUUUCUUCACCAAACACCUUUUUGCGAAGUAACUCCGGACUUUCAUCAUCAUUGAACAUACGAAAUUGAAGGGGGUCACUAUGAAAUCUAGUGUAAUUGGAUACUUCAAGAUUUUGGGUUGUUAGAAUGAUUCUACUUCUGUUAUUGGCAUCAUUGAAACAACCUAUUAGACCAUCCCACACAUCAGCUUCCCACAAAUCAUCAACAAGGAUCAAAUAUCUUCUGGAAAAUAUAGUCCUGCGAUGCUCAUCAGCUAGUUCAUCAGCUUAUUUUUCUCUACGUUCUGAGUCCUCACCAAUUGCAUCACGUAAAAUAGCCAUUAAUAAGUCCUUACGCGAAUAUACUUGAGACACACAACACUGUGCACGAAUGUCAUAGUGAGAAGAGACUAACCUGUCAUUGUAGAGUCUGUAGGCCAAAGUUGUCUUGCCUAGACCGGGCAUAUCGACAAUUGAGAUAACAUCUCUCCUUUUGUGCCUUUUAUUAGUUGGUCUCUUAACUUUUCUAUGACAUCCUCAAAACCAAAAAUCUCUUCAUUCAUCCUUGAAGACCUUACCAAAUUUGAUGACUUAUGAGCCGUGACAGUGUUCACUGCACCGCCAACCAUGUUCAUUUCAUGAAUCUCUGCUGCCUCAUCUUUGAUAAGAGUAAUCUCCUUCAUGAUAUCCAAGAGCCAGCAUUCGAUGCACCAUACAGGAGCUUUAAGAGUAUUUUUAUAUCAUAUAAUUUAAUCCAAUACAUUAUAAGACCACAAAUACAUGGACUCAGAGAUUAAUUAACAGGUUACUUCUCUUCUUUCUCUCAAAAUCAUUCUUGGAAAAUUCUUAGUUCUGUUGAUUCAAGUUUUCCUAGAUUUCAUUAUACUUUAUUAGACAACGGAGCAUACUGCGAUGUACAUACAAAAGUCCUGUCCAUUGUCUUAAUAAUAUGAAACUCCUCAACAUUCCUGUUCAUUUAUGGGGUCCUAUCGAAAUCGAAGUUACUCGAAUUCUUCAAAAAAAGUUACUGCAUUAGUAUCGAAUUCUUUAACAACACACUAUUUUUAAAGGAUCCGACACGUAUCCGUCGACAUAUUUAAAGAUUCCAAACAACAUAGAUCAGGAUAGGUAGGCUCGAGCCUUUUUCCUCCCCUCCCUCCAUAAGACCUUUUUCUCAUUCACUCUCGAGAAAGAAGAUAAAAAAUGAUUCAUUGAGAUCGAUUAAAUUUAGAAUCGUGUUGUUAGAUUUCUAUAGUAUUGAGCUGAGAGCUUGAAGAAGAAGAGUUGAAGAUUCUUGAAGAAGAGUAGUUUUCAUUGAUUGAUUUUUUGUUAGCUUGUUAUGGUACUACAAGUCACAUUUAUAGAGUUAGUUUGCUCCUUGUGACAGCUGUAUAAUGACAGCUGUCACACUUAACCAACUAACUCACUCACACAUACAUCACACACACUAACUUCCUCUAACUAAUCAUCAACUUGCUGAUUACACUUUUCACUAUCUUAACACUCUCCCUCCAGUUGAUGGCUUAACGAUGUUCUUCAUUCCCAGUUUACUUAGUAGAUAUUCAUGUUGACUCUUCCCUAAGGGGUUUGUGAGAAUAUCUGCUAGCUGCUCCUCUGUAGGCACAUGAUUGGUCUUGAUCAUCUUCUGACUGAUUCUUUCUCUCACAAAAUGACAAUCUAUUUCAAUGUGUUUUGUCCUUUCAUGGAAAAUAGGAUUAGCAGCAAUCUAGAUUGCUGCUUUAUUGUCAGACAUCAAGUAUACAGGUUGUUUAAUCUAGAUUCCUAGCUCUUGAAAUAGUCUAAUUAACCAGGUGAUCUCUGCACUACAAGUACCCAUGCUUCUAAACUCUGCUUCUGCAGAGCUCCUGGACACAGUCUCUUGUUUCUUUGAUUUCUAAGAGACUAAAGCACCUCCAAACUUUAUUACAUACCCAGCCACUAAUCUUCUAGUUUGUAAGCAAGCACCCCAAUCAGAGUCAUAGUAGGCUGUCAAAUUGCUAGAAGCUUCUGUAGGAGUCACAGUCAGAAACUUCUGCAGGCAUAAACAAUCCCAAGCCAGGAUUACCUUUUAUGUACCUCACUACUACCAAUGCAGCUUCCAUGUGAGAUAUCUUUGGAGAGUGCAUGUACUGACUUAGUACCUGUACUGCAAAGGACAAGUCAGUUCUAGUCAUGGUGAGAUACAAUAGCCUUCCUACUAGUCUUUGAUAUGUUGUUGGAUCUUUCAGAGUUGCAUCAUCAUCUCCUGUUUCAUUGGGCACAUGAUUGUUAUAUUCCACAUAUGUUAGUUUCUGAUUCAUUUCCAGUGGAGUACUAGAAGGUUUUGAUCCACUUAGUCCAGCCUCAGAAGUUCAAGAGCACAUUUUCUUUGAUUUAGCACUAUCCCUUCCUUGGAUCUGGCUACCUCUAUGCCCAAGAAGAACUUCAAAUCAUCAAGAUCCUUCAUUUUAAAUUUUUGUUGCAAAUCUGGUCUAGCUUGAUUAAUCAAGGUGAUGUUGUUUCCUGUUAUUAACAGAUAAUCCACAUAGACAAGAAUAAUCACUAUUUCAUUUUUUGAGUUUUUGGUAAACAAAGAGUAGUCAUAAUAACUUUGAUUGAACCCCAUUUGUGAAAGAGCAUCAAUCAUCUUCUUAUUCCACUAUCUAGGGGCCUGCUUUAGGCUAUACAAGGACUUGUGUAAUUUGUAGACUUUCUGAGUCUCCCCAUGUCUGCAAAAACCAUCAGGAAUAUGCAUGUAGACCUCUUCUGACAGAUCACCAUUAAGAAAAGCAUUGUGCACAUCCAUUUGAAAAAUCAACCACUGUCUAAAAGAAGCAAAAGCUAUAAGGGAUCUUACUAUCACCAUCUUUGACACAGGAGAGAAAGUAUCUGAGUAAUCAACCCCAGCCUGUUGACUGUAGCCCUUAGCUACUAGUGUAUCUUUAUACCUUUCCACCUCUCCAUUUGCCUUGUACUUUACUUUGUACACCCAUCUACAACUAAUAGGAACUUUACCAGGUGGCAAGUCAACAAUAGGCCAAGUAUGAUUCUUCUCAAGAGCUGCAAUCUCCAGCUUCAUAGCCUCAACCCAAGAGGGAUCUUUGGAGGCUUCAAGGAAAGUGGAGGGUUCAAGAAUAGAAGAACAGACAGAGAGAGCUUAAUUAUACUGAGGAGAGAGAUGAUAGCAUAUGACAUAGGAAGAUAAUGGAUAAAAACAUUGGCUGAGACAGGCUUGGUAGUGACAAAGUCAUGGAUCCAAAUGGGAGGUUUCUUAUGUCUAGUGGAUUUUCUGAGAAGAGGAGGGUAACAAUAAGAUGCACAAGGAUGAGUAGGAGCUGAGGGUGAAGGUACAGGGCCAUGCUCUAGAACAUGAGAGAUUGGGUAUGAAGUAGAAGAAGGAAUGGAUGGGAAAGAGAAAAAAAGAACUGAGUGAUCAACAAGAGUGGACUGCAGGUCAAGAAACAAUUGAGAGUCAGUGGUAACUUGGUGAAGGCAAGGAAAAGUGAACUCUUGAAAGCUGACAUUUCUACUAGUAAAGAAUAGUCUAGUGUGAAGAUAUAUAGUUUGUACCCUUUCUAGGUGGAUGAUUAGCCCAUAAAGACACAAGGAAUUUCUCUAGCAGCAAACUUAUCUAAACAAUGAGUACUAGAGGCAUAACCUAUACAACCACAGACUUUUAAAUGAGAAAGUGAAGAAGCCUGUUGAUGGAGGAUUUCAAAGGGAGAUUUAUAGUGAAGUAUUUUUGAGGGAAUUCUAUUAAGCAAGUACCCAGCAGUCUCAACACAUUCACCCCAAAACUUGAGAGGUACACCCACUUGAAAUCUGAGGGAUCUUGCAACUCCCAAAAUAGUUCUGUGUUUUCUUCCACCACCCCAUUCUACUGAGGGGUAUAAAAACAUGAAGUUUGAUGCAAAAUACCAAGAUUAGACAUAAGAGAUCUAAAUUCAUGACUAAACAACUCACAGUCAUUAUCAGUUUUCAGAAUUUUGACAGAAGUAGCAAAACAAGUUUUGCAUUCUAGUAAGAAAAUCUUUGAGUACAACUAUCACUUCAGACUUAAACUGGAUAAGAAACAACCAAGUGAAUAUAGAAUGAUCAUCAACAAUGGUAACAAAGAAUCUCUUUUUAUCAUAGGUAGGCACUCUAUAAGGUUCCCAUAUAUCACAAUGAAGCAAAUGAAAUAGAGCCUUAGACACAGAGUUGCUAUGCUGAAAAGGAAGUUUAGCCAGCUUAGCAAGGGGGCACAUAAUGCAUCUUCAAACUUCAAAUUACUUAGUUUAGCAUGUAAUUUAAGCACCUCAAUAGGUUCAUGACUUAUUCUUUUGUGCCACAGAACACUGGAAUCAGAGAGUAACUUCACAUUAUUGGCAUAUCUAUUUACACUUGUAGGUUUAGUAGAAGCAUUUGGGAGAAUGUAAAUCCUUUUAUCUUCUUUACCAAUCCCCAGCACCAUGCCAGUAUAGAGAUCCUGGAAUAUACAGAAGUCAGGAAAAAAAAUUCACUAAACAUUGCAACUCCUUGGUAAGUUUUGAAUAGAUAGAAGAUUAUACUUAAACUCAGGCAGAUAUAAGAUAUCAGAAUUGUUGAGUACACCAUAGGUGCCUUUGUGAGAGACUGGAACCUCAUCACCUGUUUGAAGAUAGACCUGACUUUGUGAUGACUGAGGCAUUUUAUGAUAACUAUACAUCAUAUCAGGAUUGGACACCAUAUGAUUAGUAGCACCAAAUUCAAUAAUCCACCUAUCACUUAUAGUAGGACUAGUUAGAGCUAUCAUGAUACCUGUAUUUUCUGCAGGGGAAAUGGAAUCCUUAUCCUUCUUCCUUUUAUUAAGCAUGACAAUUUAUUGAUAUUGUUCUAGUGUAAAAUGAGGAGUGGGACUCGAAGUAGUCUAGGAUGAACUGGCUUGAGACAGCUUAUCACUAGUAGAGUAUGUGUCCACAGGGAAUGCAGAGUCUACCAUAUGUGCAUACUGUCCUGAUCCUUUAUUCUUGGACUUGGGCCAAUCUGAUGGGUAACCAACCAUCUUGAAACAUUGAUCCUUAGUAUGGCCAUUAUAACCAUAGAACUCACAAACCACUGAUGGGUUUUUCUAUGGAGCACCUCUAUAGGUGGAAGCUGGUGGUCUUCCCUCGUAGAUACCUUUAAUCUAUACUGAACUUGUACCUCCUGAACCACUAGGACUUAGAUAUCCACCUUUGCCAUUGUAACCUGGUUUAUGAGUAAAGAGAGCUGCUUCAUCCAGUGUAUCCACAAUCAUAGAGUACACUUUGCUAAUGGAUGGUAUAGGGGUAAUAAAUAGGAUUCGGCUUCUACACUGAGAGUAUGUUUCAUUUAGACCUAUUAGGAACUGUAAUAUGUUUCAUUUAGACCCAUUAGGAACUGUAAUACUCUUUGAUAAUCAAAGUGUUGGGCAUAAUUUCUAGAUUCAGGGCAGCUACAUCUAGGAGAAGGCGUAAGAACAUCAAAUUCAUCCCAAAGAGUUCUCAUUCGAGAAAAAUAAUCAGCAACUGACAGAGUUCCCUGAGAGAGGGUCACAAUUUCUCUAUGCAAGUAGAAUACUCGAGAGCCAUUCACCUUAUCAAACCUUUCCUUAAAUCUAUCCACACAUUAUGAGCAUUAGAGGCAUAGAUAAUACUACUCAACAGAUCCUUUCGUGCUGAAUUCAUAAUCCAUGACAAAACAACAACAUUAACUCUCUCCCAUUGAUUAUGUACUAGUUCAUCAAAGUGAUUUUUAGGAUAUCUCCCAUCAACAAAGCCUAUUUUGUUCUUGCCUAUGAGACUCAACGCCAUAGAUCUACUCCACAGGGCAUAAUUUUCAAUGUCAGUAAGUUGGAUAGAAAUAAGAGAGCUACCUGGAGUGUCGUUUGGAUGCAAACACAGAGGAUGAUUGUGGUCAAUUUCAAUUGUACCAGCUAAAGUAGGUGUAUUUCCAGGUGCUGCAGUUGUAGUUGAAGGCUCUGCAGCUGAGUUUCGAGCAACCACCAUUAAAGCUCACUGUAAGCAAUAGAACAGUAGCUGUUAUACUUACUGAUCAGGUGAAAUUGAUAGUCUCUAAUACCAAUUAUAGCCAGCGAUCAGUAGUGACUUUGAUACCAUGUUAAAUUUCUAUAGUAUUGAGCUGAGAGCUUGAAGAAGAAGAGUAGUUUUCAUUGAUUGAUUUUCUUUUAGCUUGUUAUGGUACUACAACUCACAUUUAUAGAGUUAGUUUGCUCCUUAUGACAGCUGUAUAAUUACAGCUGUCACACCUAACCAACUAACUCACUCACACAUACAUCACAUGCACUAACUUCCUCUAACUAAUCAUGCUAAUCAUCAACUUGCUGAUUACACUUUUCACUAUCUUAAUGUGUGAAUUUUUUUUUUCUUAUUUUCAUCCUGUAUGAGGUUGACUAAAUUGAAAUUCAUGCCAAAAGUAAUACAUUAGAAAAGAAAUCGCUCUGUAACAAAAGAAACUCAUCUAAAAUUGAAAUACAAAACCUUUGAUUAGAGAUCAAUAAGUAUUUAUCGCUCCAACACAACAAAAAAAUUAUACAAAUUAAAGAAAAACAAACAGAUCAAGACAGCAAUUAGAUUAAUUAAUAUCACAACUAAGUUUACAAAACAUCAUUAUUCACUAAUACAAUCCUAAUUAAUUAUCAUCAUUAGCAUAAUAAAAAGGUGAAAAGUACACCAAAUCCUUGUUAUUCUCCCAAGAUUUUACCACUAAUUCAGCAUUAAAUAUUUUAGGAAUUCCAAAUGAAAAUGUUGAGAUUUUAAGGUAAUAUUUAAUACCAGAAACAACUUGUGUUUCUGCCUCUACAACUUCAACAAAACUCAAUAAUUCAAUAUUGUCAUCUUUCAUUAUUUGUUUGUACUUUCUUAAACUCUUGUUGUACUCUUCCACGCAAUAUUUUCCCAAUUCUUGAAUUUUUUUGUUUGUUUUCACAUCCUUUAUAGGUGUUUUGCCUCCAACUUUUCUUGCAA
Molecule: long non-coding RNA, 40196 nt
Filed under: Capsicum annuum
Lineage: Eukaryota; Viridiplantae; Streptophyta; Magnoliopsida; Solanales; Solanaceae
Description: long non-coding RNA (CANN_LNC018329)
Source: RNAcentral